UUAUUUUAGCUUUGAUUUUAUUAAACAUAUAUGAAUGAUUAUUUAAAUUUAGAAUUAAUUAAUUUUAGUUUAUGUAUUCAAUUUUUGUUUAUUGUUUAAUAAGUCCAAAAAGCUCAAUCGUCCUUUUAGGAUCAUAUCGGGCUUUGAAAUAUAGGUCCAACUUUUUGCGGGUCGGACCAAGCUUAGAUAGAAAUGGACUUUGC
Molecule: long non-coding RNA, 203 nt
Filed under: Brassica rapa (field mustard)
Lineage: Eukaryota; Viridiplantae; Streptophyta; Magnoliopsida; Brassicales; Brassicaceae
Description: long non-coding RNA (BRAP_LNC001457)
Source: RNAcentral